Molecule: long non-coding RNA, 402 nt
Filed under: Anas platyrhynchos platyrhynchos (common mallard)
Lineage: Eukaryota; Metazoa; Chordata; Aves; Anseriformes; Anatidae
Description: lncRNA (ENSAPLG00000030558.1)
Source: RNAcentral
UAUGGUGGAAUAUGAGCACUAAUGUUUGUCCCAUUAUGCUGGAGAACAAAGGCUGUGCAAAACAUUAUGGCCAGUUACUCUAGCAGGUGUUAAUAAAUUGAAGAGAGUUCUUCAGCUACAGGAACAAUGGAGGGGAUAUAAAAUCUGUUUAACAGGAAGAAUCAAAUGCUUGUGUUGUUUUGCUAAUCAAAGAGACUGCUACAGCAGUAUGAUCUUUGACAGUGAGGAUAACCAUAAAGUGAUUUAACAUAGGCAGCUUAUACUUCCAAUUGAUGCAAUUAAAAAAAAUAAUAAUGUUUUCCAUAAAACUCUUCACCUGAAAGAAGGAAAACAUGAUUCAGUGAAGUUCUGUGUCCUGUGCUGUAGAGGAUCAUCACAACUGCUUUACAUUAUCUGCCCUUU